CACAGUUGGUGGUCGAGCAUCCAACGGUGACGUACACCAACCCGCGCUUCUUCCAGAAUCUCACCAUCACCAGCAAGCGAUACAGCAGAAAGGACCCAAACAGAUACAUCAGCAUCUAUGCUAUAACUAAAAAGGCUUUUGACAACCAUCUGUCUAUAAACUUCAGCUUCUACGAGCUCCUCUCCAACGUGUAUAAGCCCAGCUUCGUCGGUCUCCGCUUCACCAACUACUGCGAAUGGAUCGCCAAAGACACCUACAUAGCUUCCACCAUCUCCGCCGCUUACCUCCGCAGCACGCCCGUCGAAAAACAAAUCGAGAAAAUUGGCUGUCCUUUUCCUCCAGGUGAAUACGUGUUCGGCAACUUCACAAUCCCGAACUCGCCGAUCUUUAAGCGUUUCCCGUUCCUCAACGGCCGCAUCGUCGCCAACUUAUCCUACGACAUCAAGGAGACCGUUGCCAG
Molecule: long non-coding RNA, 460 nt
Organism: Aricia agestis (brown argus)
Lineage: Eukaryota; Metazoa; Arthropoda; Insecta; Lepidoptera; Lycaenidae
Exons: 3
Source: RefSeq, a predicted model, not a curated record